UUUUGGUGUGUAUUGUGAAAUUGAAGACGCAGCGGGAUUAGAGCGGGUAGUCCUGCAGGUCAGGAGGAUCAUGGCGGAGAUCGUGCGGAUUAGAGUAUUUGUUUUAGUUUUACAGCCUUGUAAAUUGUGAAGUGAGUGAUGCUCAAUUUGAGCUUUACAAAUUUACUUUGUACAAGUGAGUUGUAUUAAUUAAACUGAAGUUUUCGA
Rosa chinensis is the source of this 207-nucleotide long non-coding RNA. RefSeq lists it as uncharacterized. The record is from RefSeq and is a predicted model, not a curated record. Lineage: Eukaryota; Viridiplantae; Streptophyta; Magnoliopsida; Rosales; Rosaceae. The transcript has 2 exons.